AGCUCUCCUUGAGUUUCUAUGGAAACUGCCUCAGCUUCCUGUUGUACCCUCCUGGUUCACCACGGCAAUUCUUAGUUUCCUGUCGCUUCUUCCCUGGUUGCUCUAAUGAUGCUGCUGACAAUUUCCUGCCUCUUGGUAGGGGGGUUCUCUUGCAACUGGGUUGCUAUGGUGACUCACAGCUUCCUGUUGCUAUGGAGCUUUUUCUUCCUCGCCAGAGGAGCUUGGUUAAGGUAAUAUGGAAGGGUUUCAUACCUAUUCUCACCCUAGCUUCCCCUCCAGCCUCAGAAACACUUGACUCUUCUGGAGAUGUGUCCCCAGGACCAAGAAACAGUCCCAGCCUGCAGUCCCCCAACCCUGGGAGCAGUACUCCUGCUCUGAGCAGUGGCGGGAUCUUAGGGCUAUCCAGGCAGGCCUGGCUGAGAGGCAUCAAGGUCAGAGGUCAAAAAAGAAUCUUGAGGAGCAGGGAGAGACACUCUCAAUAGAGACCAUAUCUAAACACUGCAAUUUCUGUGUCCUCAGAGUCAUUCCCGAGCCCUGAGUGACCCCACCACGCCUCUGUGAACUAGGAACCAGAGUGACCCUGUUUGCUUGCCUUUAUGCACUGGGGACAGGGAAAUGUCCCUCUUGCUAUGCAACUG
Molecule: long non-coding RNA, 638 nt
Filed under: Rattus norvegicus (Norway rat)
Lineage: Eukaryota; Metazoa; Chordata; Mammalia; Rodentia; Muridae
Description: long non-coding RNA NONRATT010374
Source: RNAcentral